This 494-nucleotide ribosomal RNA is filed under the name uncultured bacterium. Its description in RNAcentral is "bacterial SSU rRNA". It matches the Rfam family "Bacterial small subunit ribosomal RNA", at positions 56 to 546 of the family's 1533-position model. The record is from RNAcentral.
UGCAAGUCGACGGCAGCGGGGGCUUCGGCCUGCCGGCGAGUGGCGAACGGGUGAGUAAUGCAUCGGAACGUACCCAGUCGUGGGGGAUAACUACGCGAAAGCGUAGCUAAUACCGCAUACGCCCUGAGGGGGAAAGCGGGGGACCUUCGGGCCUCGCGCGAUUGGAGCGGCUGAUGUCGGAUUAGCUAGUUGGUGGGGUAAAGGCCUACCAAGGCGACGAUCCGUAGCUGGUCUGAGAGGAUGAUCAGCCACACUGGGACUGAGACACGGCCCAGACUCCUACGGGAGGCAGCAGUGGGGAAUUUUGGACAAUGGGCGCAAGCCUGAUCCAGCCAUGCCGCGUGAGUGAAGAAGGCCUUCGGGUUGUAAAGCUCUUUCAGACGGAAAGAAAUCGGGCGCGUGAAUAGCGUGCCUGGAUGACGGUACUGUCAGAAGAAGCACCGGCUAACUACGUGCCAGCAGCCGCGGUAAUACGUAGGGUGCGAGCGUUAAUC